UGUCCUGUUACACACAAAGCUAAUUGGCUAUAGUUAGCCUGUACGUAUGCUAGCAGACAUAAGAAAGGUAAACACUGCUCAGAGACUUAUAAGACGACGUGGUCCCUCACUACAAUGGGAAUUUUUUAGAGGCCCAUUUACGAUAUAGACAUUAUUAUAUAGAAAGUAAAUAUACACUGGAAUAUUUCUGUAAGGGCCUUUUACAUAUUGACAAACCUUGAUAAUAACAUGUAUAUGCCUGUUUAUGGUGAAAAUUAGCAAUUAAU
Molecule: long non-coding RNA, 266 nt
Organism: Etheostoma cragini (Arkansas darter)
Lineage: Eukaryota; Metazoa; Chordata; Actinopteri; Perciformes; Percidae
Exons: 3
Source: RefSeq, a predicted model, not a curated record